RNAcentral lists this ribosomal RNA (253 nucleotides) under uncultured bacterium. RNAcentral's name for it is "partial 16S ribosomal RNA". It matches the Rfam family "Bacterial small subunit ribosomal RNA", at positions 524 to 776 of the family's 1533-position model. The record is from RNAcentral.
UACGAAGGGGGCUAGCGUUGUUCGGAAUUACUGGGCGUAAAGGGCGCGUAGGCGGCCGAUUAAGUUAGAUGUGAAAGUCCUGGGCUCAACCUGGGGACUGCAUUUAAUACUGGUUGGCUUGAAUUCGGGAGAGGAUAGCGGAAUUCCCAGUGUAGAGGUGAAAUUCGUAGAUAUCGGGAGGAACACCGGUGGCGAAGGCGGCGACCUGGGUAGAUACUGACGCUGAGGUGCGAAAGCGUGGGGAGCAAACAGG